GACGAACGCUGGCGGCGUGCCUAAUACAUGCAAGUCGAGCGCAGGAAACUGACGGAACUCUUCGGAGGGAAGGCAGUGGAAUGAGCGGCGGACGGGUGAGUAACACGUAAGGAACCUGCCUCAAGGAUUGGGAUAACUCCGAGAAAUCGGAGCUACUACCGGAUAGUUCAACGGACCGCAUGGUCCGCUGAUGAAAGGCGCUCCGGCGUCACCUUGAGAUGGCCUUGCGGUGCAUUAGCUAGUUGGUGGGGUAACGGCCCACCAAGGCGACGAUGCAUAGCCGACCUGAGAGGGUGAUCGGCCACACUGGGACUGAGACACGGCCCAGACUCCUACGGGAGGCAGCAGUAGGGAAUCUUCCACAAUGGACGAAAGUCUGAUGGAGCAACGCCGCGUGAGUGAUGGAGGUUUUCGGAUCGUAAAACUCUGUUGUAAGGGAAGAACACGUACGAGAGGGAAUGCUCGUACCUUGACGGUACCUUACGAGAAAGCCACGGCUAACUACGUGCCAGCCGCCGCCGUAA
This 524-nucleotide ribosomal RNA is filed under the name uncultured bacterium. RNAcentral describes it as "partial 16S ribosomal RNA". It matches the Rfam family "Bacterial small subunit ribosomal RNA", at positions 28 to 523 of the family's 1533-position model. The record is from RNAcentral.